UCCCAUAAUGACGUAUCAUUUGAUCGCGAACUUGUUUAAGAACUAUACGAUAAAUCUUCUCUUUAUCAUACACUAGCAUAGUUCUAGGAACUUUAUCAUAGUACAAGAGUUCAAGGAAGAUGUCACUCUAUAAUGAAAAAUAUCAGAAUAACUAUUAUUCAAUAAUCAAUAAUUCAUAUACAAGGAUGAACUCAGUCGUCA
RNAcentral lists this long non-coding RNA (201 nucleotides) under Elaeis guineensis (African oil palm). RNAcentral describes it as "long non-coding RNA (EGUI_LNC059564)". Lineage: Eukaryota; Viridiplantae; Streptophyta; Magnoliopsida; Arecales; Arecaceae. The record is from RNAcentral.